Balaenoptera ricei (Rice's whale) is the source of this 206-nucleotide long non-coding RNA. RefSeq lists it as uncharacterized. Lineage: Eukaryota; Metazoa; Chordata; Mammalia; Artiodactyla; Balaenopteridae. The record is from RefSeq and is a predicted model, not a curated record. The transcript has 3 exons.
GCUUCUCAGCUUCUGUUAUAUCCUUCUUGGAUGGGGACUGGAGAUCAGCCAGAUCAGUUGUUUGCACAAAGCCGCUUUGGGUCUGUCUUUUCAAACAAAAGCUGCAGAAAAUGUUAUAGCAAGGUUGAAGCUUUAUUCCACUCUGACUCACCCAGAAAGCACAACCCUGAUUUUGCAUGAGAAGGACCAUCUAUGGAACCUAGAAC